RNAcentral lists this ribosomal RNA (464 nucleotides) under uncultured bacterium. Its description in RNAcentral is "partial 16S ribosomal RNA". It matches the Rfam family "Bacterial small subunit ribosomal RNA", at positions 28 to 507 of the family's 1533-position model. The record is from RNAcentral.
GACGAACGCUGGCGGCGUGCUUAACACAUGCAAGUCGAACGGAAAGGCCCCUUUGGGGGUACUCGAGUGGCGAACGGGUGAGUAACACGUGAGUAACCUGCCCUUGACUUCGGGAUAACUUCAGGAAACUGGGGCUAAUACCGGAUAGGAAUCCUUGCUGCAUGGUGGGGGUUGGAAAGCUUCGGCGGUUUUGGAUGGACUCGCGGCUUAUCAGCUUGUUGGUGGGGUAGUGGCUUACCAAGGCUUUUACGGGUAGCCGGCCUGAGAGGGCGACCGGCCACAUUGGGACUGAGAUACGGCCCAGACUCCUACGGGAGGCAGCAGUGGGGAAUAUUGCACAAUGGGCGGAAGCCUGAUGCAGCAACGCCGCGUGCGGGAUGACGGCCUUCGGGUUGUAAACCGCUUUCAGCAGGGGCGAAGCUUUUGUGACGGUACCUGCAGAAGAAGCACCGGCUAACUACGUG